RNAcentral lists this non-coding RNA (27 nucleotides) under Bombyx mori (domestic silkworm). Lineage: Eukaryota; Metazoa; Arthropoda; Insecta; Lepidoptera; Bombycidae. The record is from RNAcentral.
UAAACAGGACCUUGUUGCUUUUUGCGA